AGAUCCCGCGAGAACUCACUGUCACCAGAACAGCAAGGAGGAAGUCCGUCCCCAUGAUCCAAUCACCUCCCACGAGGCCUCUUCUCCAGCAUUGAGGAUUACAAUUUGACAUGAGAUUUGGGUGGGAAUACGGAGCCGAACCAUAUCACUACUGGUCAUUGUGGUGUCUCUAAAAGGCCAGGAACCAGUUUGAGGACCACCCACUGGGAGGAGAGCUCUGAACCAACACCUGUGAAUAACGAUUGUAGCCUUUGCCCGUGCUGUACACAUGCGUAGUGCUUUCCCACACCUGGGUUCUUUCAACCUCGUUAACCUAGGCAAUAAUUAUUAUUUUCAUCUUACAGCUGAGGAAACGGAGGCUCAAAUGCUCGUCAGUUUCCCAGGGACGUGGGCUGGUGAUAUACCUGCUCAUAUCCACUGCUUGUUUUUAGAGAAGAGGCAUCCAGAAUGGCAGAAAGAUGCAUGGCAAUGUCCUCAUUGUGUCAGGUGUGGCUUGGGUCCCUGUACCCUACUGAAGAAAUUUGAAGGUGCCACAGAAGAGAACCCAAAACAAGCCACAGAAAUGAGCCAAAGUAAUUAAAGAAUGUUACCAUGUUACCUACCAUGCCUCAGGCAUUGAGCUAAACGACCGGGCUACAAAGAUGCACAGAGAUGCCUUACCUUGAAGAGUUCAAGACCUGGGGCACAGAAUGGCCAGGGGCACAAGACAGCUCAUGGAGGAGGAAUGAAAAGUCCAGCACCGUGAGAUGAGUAUUCAAACGCAAGUAUGCAAGGGGCCUUGGGGUGGGGGCGUUAUCUUUUCAUGCUCCAGGAAGGCUUCAGAAGAAAGUGAGGUGCCUGUGAGCCUGUUCUUGAAGGAACAGAAGUUUGCUCAGGCAAAGAUGUAGAAAAAGUCUUUCCCAGCAAAGGGAACUACGAAGGUAGAGAGGUGUGAGGGGCCUGGCAGAGCCAGAGACAAGCAGACAGCUUGAGAGUGGUGGCUGCUAACGGAUGGUGGCCUGCUGAUAGAUUGUGCUGGGGCCACAGGGUGGUUUCUUAACUGCAACCACACUUAGGGAUGGAGAUAUUUUAUGAAAAGGGCCAGAUUUUCUGUUUCUCUUGAAAAAAAAAAUAGUAAAACUGACCUCCCUGCUUGAGAUCCACUUUAGACUGGGACUGAGAAGUGAACUCCCCCUUCAGCAGUGGUCAGUGCCUGCCAGUACAUCACUAUGUCCACCACAACCCUGGAUUCAGACUCACUCAUCGUCAUUCAUGCUUUCAUCAAGCAGCUGCACUAAUUCAGAUGACUCACUUCACUCCAGGAGGUGUUUGACUUUUCAGCCUCUGGGCUGAGCAGAGAAGAUCCAGAUAAAUGCGGCCCUUCAUUCAAGGCUACACCUUCUGAUGGCUAUUACAUUUGAACUCCAAGAGAGAAAAGUCUUCAUUUCCUUGAGCAAUAUCCUAAUCUCAUUAAAGAAACACUCCAGUCUUGAUUUAGGAAAAAAAGAUUCAUUCCUUCAUCCUUCCAAAUAAGGUCACACUGAAUAACCCCAAGCAGACGGAGUUCUUGACAGAGUUUUGAAGGCCCACAAAAGGCUGCACAGGUGAUUACAGGCCAAGUAGGAAGGUCUGCGGCACAUCCAGGCAUCAUCUCUGGCAGUGCUGUCCUGAAGAAGCCUUUCUUUAUUGAUCUGCCACAGUCCACCUGGCCAAACUCCUCCUCUGGGCUCUUCAGACCACUGGCAGGAAGGAAAAACAGCGGCUGGGCCCUGAGGGUAUCCUCUGUGUCUGUCGUGGUGAGGCAGCAUGGACCGUCCUCAGUUCCUGAGUUCAGCUUAGCCUGGACAUCUCUCUAGGUCCUUGCCGUGGUUCUUCUGGAGGUGCUCACAGCUCCCUCCAGAUGACCAUGAGAUCUAAUGAAUGCACAUGUGUCCAGCCUCCCAGCAGCCUUCCUCCCUACCCUCUCCAUGGACCCUGGAACUUCUGAACGCCAACUGUUUACUAGGGAAGGACACCUCUGGGUGGAUUCGCUUUAAUGACUGUCUCUUGACCCACUAUGUCCUCAAGAAGAACUUUACGAUGGGCUCUCUUGGUCAAAACUGAAUCCCUGAAAAGCUGGCCGGUGUGAGACUUUUCCGGCCCUGUUUGGAUGAAGGACUCUUCACCUCCACAAGCACAGAGCCACUGAUGCUCCGAGGAGGCUCCUGAGGUGCAAGCUGGGCCCCACAUCCUGAUGUCUUCAUGGAUGUUGGCGAAAAUAUCCAGGAAACAAGGAACUUCUGCCCUGACUUGGAGAAGGUGGUCGUUUUCUCCACCCAAUAGUGUCUCCCACCAGAGAAGAGUCUCCUUACCUGUUUCUGAGUGGCAGCAAGCGGUUCUUCCCUUCAGGAGGGCGCUGGGCUUCUCGUGCCGGCAGAUGAGGGCCCGGCACCACUCACAGUGUUUUCGGACCUGGCAGCAGCUGCAAAGACACAGAGGACCCAGUCUGGGCGGGAGCCUGGCAGGAGGGCCAGGGUGGUACAGCAUCUGCCCUAGGGGCCUGCUGGGCAGCUCCAGCUCUAAACCAGCUCCCCAUGGGGGCUUCUAGAGGGACAGGCACCAUAGGGGGCUGAGGGCAUUGUAGGGCAGUGUUUUUUUGGGGCAGAUGCUGGCCAACAACAAAAGCAUCUGUUGGCUACCCUAAAGUAUUUGCUCUGUUUCUGCAAGCUGACCUGGCUCCAGCUUCCCCAGCUGUCAGAGAGAACUGGUCCUCCACUCGGCUUUCUUGAUAAAGAACCAGGUGGGUAAUUCCACAAGUGUAAUGGCCUCAGAAUUGGGACAAAGGACUGGGAUAAAGGGGCCACCUCCAGCUGGCAGGGCUGUGAGGGUUUAGGAAGAGGUUAUUCAUCUGGUAUUGCCAGUAGCAGAACAAGGAACUUGGAUGGCUGAAUUGACCCAUGGGAAAAAAUGGAAGAGUGAGUUAUGGAUCUCAAUGGCUUUGAAUCCUGCUUUCAGGACUAAAAUUCUCUAGUUUUGGAACAUCUACCCUCUCUGUAAACCUGUGUGACCCGGAGUCCUGAGGCAUCAGGGUUAUAAAGGCUCCUGCCUCCCUCUGUGGGCAGGAAUGGAGAGUUUUCAGACUUUGCAUGAAAAAAAAAAAAAGCCCCAAAAGAACAGAAGAGAAAGCACUGAGUGAGAGAUGAGUUCCCCACAGACACUGCCAGCCAUUUCCCUUGGGCUAUCGUGGAGAACUUUGUUUCCACUCAUUCUAACCCUAAUUUGUAUAUAAUUUAUGUAUCCCUGGGCUAGGGUUGGAGUUAGGAGAAAUUUCCUAAGGUGAGCCAGGUGGCAGAGAUGAAGAAAUAAGCCUGUUGCUGGGCUUCUCUCUUGGUAUCUGGUGGGCAUUUCACGAUUCCCAUCCCAGCCCCUGUCUUGGCACUGUCCUGCAGUGAGAAGCUGCAAAGGUUACUGGAGCCCCUGAAUCUUUGGACAGCAGGGCUAAGGAGGAGGCUCUGAGACCUUCCUGCCCAAGCUGCUUAUGUUACAGGUGAAAACCGGGAGCCCAGAGCAGUGUGCCUGGGCACGAGGCCCUUCUGAGUUGCAGAGUCUGGGCUGGAAACAGCACAUCCCAUGCCAGGGGGCUCUAAAGGCCUUGGUUCCAGAGCCAUCAAUGACUACUUUCUCACAGCCAGCCAGGUGGACUUGUCCUUGUCACUUCCCAGAUAGGAGCAUUCCCGGGCAAUGGGAUCAAGGCCUCUAGAUCCCUCCAGCAUGGGACAAGCUGGUCCCAAUUUGGACCCUGCAACUCAGGAGGGCCCUAAGCCCAGGAAGCCAGCAGCCUGGCAGGAGUGAGAGCUUAGUCUCUGGCUCAUGGAUUCUGAACUUGGUCUCUGGCAGGGAGACCAAGGCUGGGAAGGGACACAGGAGUUGGGACUGGCCGCCUCCCUGGAAAUGAGAGAUGCUGUCUAGGCAUCUAGAUCAUUCCUGUUUCCAGACAAUCUGCCAAAAUUAGCUCUUAGGUCCCUCUGGGGAGGCCCAUGUGGGCCACCAGUCUUGUUUCUAAGUCCCUGUGGCCCUCCUGGCCAUAGACACAGGACAAUGGAAGGAUGGGGCAGCACACACAGCUACUGGCCAUGAGAAGCAAGGCUGGCAGCCCACUAGCUUGCUCCUGGCUCCUCAAGGAGGGUCCUUCUGAGUGACAGAGCCUGGGCUGUGGCCCAGUCUGAACCAGAGCUACUUGUCUUCUCCCAGCAAACAUGUUUUUCCAAGGCCCCUGGAAGCAGAAUGGAUACUGCUUGGUGGGGAGGGAAAGGCCAGCCCAGCUCAGACCUCAAACCUCACCACUCAGUGCUGCCUUGGUCCAGGAGAAGGAUGUGAGCAGGUUGUUCCAGGAGAAGGAUGUGAGCAGGUUGUGGCUACUGUCAACAAGCUGGGGCUCUAACGGGUGCCUCAUUGUUACCAGAACCAGGGCCAUGUGUUUCAGAUGUCUCGAUAGCCACAAACCAAAGGGACAGUUUGUUUAUCUGUCCAAAUCUUAGGCAACCUUGGAGGGUGUAAGUCUGGCUUCUUGCAUCGACCUGUAGCUACUGACCACAACCUUGCCAGAGGGGCCCAUCCACUGACUGUCUCCACCAUGAGUUAACCUACACUGAAUUGAAUGGCAGCCUUUAACUGUUCUGUGACUUCUUUGUGCAUAUCCAAUUAGGUAUAUUAGGUUGGUGCAAAAGUAAUUGUGGUUUUGGCCUUAAAAAGUAAUGGUGAAAACUGCAAUUACUUUUGCACCAACCUAAUAAAUCCCCUAAGACUCAGACUUUAGAUAGUUCCAGGGAAUAAAUCUGGCAUAGUUCCAAAUGCUAGGAAUAUUGCACUGUAUUCCCAGGGUCUCUGACCCUGCACAGCAGUCCAGUCAGGAAAUAUGGGCAAGCAAAUGGGGCCAGGACACACCUGAAAAGGUCUCUCCUGGUCUAGGCCCCAGGGAGGCUUCCUGGAAGAUACAACACAGCAACUGAGUUUUGGAGGAUGAGGAGGGGCAGAGAAGUGGACAAAGAGGAAGGGCUGUGCAGAAUGAUGGUCAUCAGCCUGUAACAGCAACAAUGGCCCUCGACAUGUAUUUGCAAAGUGACUUCUGCAGAGAGGAAGUACUUCUGGUGCUGAUGGAAGGAGGCUAGGAGCUGUCUCUAGUCCUCUCUGGAGCACCUGCCCAUGUCAUCACUAUUCUGAAGACUCCAACACAACCGUGGAAAGAACAAGCACGCCUUUGGUUCUGCACUGGCCUCCACAGUGCACCAACCCCCCAGCUGGGGAUCCGCCCAGGAUGCACGAGGCUUUCAUGCAGCUUGGCUGCCAUGCCAUGCCAACAGUCAUCAAAGUAGCAUUUAGCUUUCCUGACAGCACUCAGACAUCGCAGAAAUAAGCUGUGCUGAGGUGGCCCUGUUAUCUGGAUAUACUGCGGAUGUCCCUGGUAGGGGAGGUGGGCAGGGGACCUGGCCUUAGGGGCAGCAAGUACUCACUGUAUCAGCACACAUGUAAUGAUAAGGACAGCCAGGGCCACGAUGGAGACCACCACCAAGGCGGUGAUGGCCUGCUUCUUCUGGCUGGCAGCCACCACGGCCAGGAGGUCCGCAUGCUCACAGCGUGCACCAACGUACCCAGAAUGGCAGCUGGGGAAGAAAGGAACAUCAGUGCACUCUCCUGACAAAAGGUCUUGUUACCCUAGCUCUCCAGGGAGGGCUUUCCUGGAGGGACCCAGAACCUGCAGGUAAAGCCCAAAGGGGCCCUGCCAGCUUUUGCAAUUGGAGGGAAAGGUGUCAGCAAAAUGCCUGUUUCCCUGCCGCAGGCACCGCUGCUUAUGUGGAGAAGGGAAGGGGAAUCUAAUCAUCCUUAUCAUCUGCGGAGGCAAGCUAUGUCUGAAGCAAUCCGUGACUACUGUGACUGUGCCAAAUCCUGGAGGAAUGAAGGCAGCACAUGUGUUCAUGACAUAAGCCUCAUUUUGGCAGUUCAUAAAAAAUCCAGGUUAGUUUUAAACCAAAUGUGUAUUUUCAGACUUUCUGGUGAUGAGAAAGAAAACACCUGAAACCAGUGGAGACAUAGGCUUGUGGUUUGCCUUUUUAUCUUCUUCAAGUUUAAUUAGUUCUUCAAGUAUUUACCAGGUUACUCAGCAUGACUACCUGAUCAUUGUAGGACUGGAGAAAUCACUACUCUCCUGUGAACCCUGGUGUCCUCCUAUCCAUCAAUACCUGGCCUACCUCCACCCAGGCUUAGUAAAGGCACAAGCAAGGUCGUGUCUGAAUGUGCGUGUAGCCUGUACAGUGUGGUGCUAAUACCAGGUGAUGUAAUUCCUGGUAUUGCUACCAUUCAGAGUCAGUCCUGGGCAUCAAGAUUUUUAAAGCUCCCAGCUGAUUCCAGUGGGCAGGGGAGGGCGAGUCAUUCAGAGGUUCUUUGGUAUUAAUCUUUCAAUCACAGCCCCCUGCUAUGCCCAAAUGGGUCUCAAAGGUGCUUCAGGAUGUGCCCUGGCCAUAAGGAUGGGAUGGUCAUUUUCUUUUACAGGCAUCCCCUCACCCUGAGCCACUAAUCCCCCAAGCAUGUGAUUCUUCUUAAUAAAAGAUACUUAGCUUAGA
Long non-coding RNA from Pan troglodytes (chimpanzee), 6575 nucleotides. RefSeq lists it as uncharacterized. The record is from RefSeq and is a predicted model, not a curated record. The transcript has 9 exons. NCBI's taxonomy places the organism in Eukaryota, Metazoa, Chordata, Mammalia, Primates, Hominidae.